AGCUCCAAUAGCGUAUAUUAAAGUUGUUGCAGUUGAAAAGCUCGUAGUUGGAUUUUGGGCGCACGUGCAGCAGCCCGUCGUGAUGAUGUGUGCAGUUGUGCUGUGUCUUUCCUUCGCAUUGCGACCCUGUGUCAUUGAUUUGAUGCGGGAGCUUCGUAUGCGAUCGUUUACUUUGAAAAAAUUAGAGUGUUCAAAGCAGGCAUUAUAUGGCCGUUGAAUAUUAUAGCAUGGGAUAAUAGAAUAGGACUUGUUUCUUAUUUUGUUGGUUUUCAAGAAAUAAGUAAUGAUUAACAGGAACAGUUGGGGAUAUUAGUAUUUACUUGUCAGAGGUGAAAUUCUGGGAUUCUGUAAAGACUAACUGCUGCGAAAGCAUUUAUCAAGGAUGUUUUCAUUAAUCAAG
This 400-nucleotide ribosomal RNA is filed under the name phytoplankton environmental sample. RNAcentral's name for it is "partial small subunit ribosomal RNA". It matches the Rfam family "Eukaryotic small subunit ribosomal RNA", at positions 587 to 981 of the family's 1831-position model. The record is from RNAcentral.